GGCGAACGGGUGAGUAACGCGUGAGGAACCUGCCUUUCAGUGGGGGACAACAGUUGGAAACGACUGCUAAUACCGCAUAAUGCUAUUAGGGGGCAUCCCUUGAUAGCCAAAGAUUUAUUGCUGAAAGAUGGCCUCGCGUCUGAUUAGCUAGUUGGUGGGGUAACGGCCCACCAAGGCGACGAUCAGUAGCCGGUCUGAGAGGAUGAACGGCCACAUUGGGACUGAGAUACGGCCCAGACUCCUACGGGAGGCAGCAGUGGGGAAUAUUGGGCAAUGGGCGAAAGCCUGACCCAGCAACGCCGCGUGAAGGAAGAAGGCCCUCGGGUUGUAAACUUCUUUUAUACGGGAAUAAAGUGCCUUACGUGUAGGGUUUUGUAUGUACCGUAUGAAUAAGCAUCGGCUAAUUCCCGUGCCAGCAGCCGCGGUAAUACGGAAGAUGCGAGAGUUAUCCGGAUUUAUUGGGUUUAAAGGGAGCGUAGGCGGGUUUUUUAAGCCAGGUGUGAAAGUGUGCGGCUCAGCGGUAAAAUUGCAGUUGGAACUGGAGACCUUGAGUGUGCAUAAGGUGGAUGGAAUUCGUGGUGUAGCGGUGAAAUGCUUAGAUAUCACGAAGAACUCCGAUUGCGAAGGCAGUCCACUGGGGCACUACUGACGCUGAGGCUCGAAAGUGCGGGUAUCAAACAGGAUUAGAUACCCUGGUAGUCCGCACAGUAAACGAUGGACACUCGCUGUUGGCGAUAUACAGUCAGCGGCCAAGCGAAAGCAUUAAGUGUCCCACCUGGGGAGUACGCCGGCAACGGUGAAACUCAAAGGAAUUGACGGGGGCCCGCACAAGCGGAGGAACAUGUGGUUUAAUUCGAUGAUACGCGAGGAACCUUACCCGGGCUUGAACUGCAGAUGACUUUUCCGGAAACGGGAUUUCCCUUCGGGGCAUCUGUGGAGGUGCUGCAUGGUUUCGUCAGCUCGUGCCGUGAGGUGUCGGCUUAAGUGCCAUAACGAGCGCAACCCUUGCCGUCAGUUGCCAUCAGGUAAUGCUGGGGACUCUGGCGGGACUGCCAUCGCAAGAUGUGAGGAAGGUGGGGAUGACGUCAAAUCAGCACGGCCCUUACGUCCGGGGCUACACACGUGUUACAAUGGGAGGUACAGAAGGCCGCUACCCGGCGACGGGAUGCCAAUCCCCAAAACCUCUCUCAGUUCGGACUGGAGUCUGCAACCCGACUCCACGAAGCUGGAUUCGCUAGUAAUCGCGCAUCAGCCAUGGCGCGGUGAAUACGUUCCCGGGCCUUGCACUCACCGCCCGUCAAG
This 1302-nucleotide ribosomal RNA is filed under the name uncultured bacterium. RNAcentral describes it as "bacterial SSU rRNA". It matches the Rfam family "Bacterial small subunit ribosomal RNA", at positions 97 to 1401 of the family's 1533-position model. The record is from RNAcentral.